CCAGUCCCCACCCCCAGUUGUCCCUAACAAAAACACAUGAGACCAGAGUUAUGGGUAAGGGCAACGGUCACAGCUUUAUUAAGUUUACAACUUUUAACGGACCAGCAUUCCAUCCAACUGCCAGCUGUUGGGUAACUUCCCCCAACAGACAGAUCCCACUUCCUUGUCCAGAGUUCGUAUCAGCCUGGCUACCGCCAUCAGCCCUCGGUAGGCUGCGACACCCCAAGCCGACUCAUCAUUUCACUUCACUUUCCAUUUCACUGGCCAGGAGCACCGCCAGAGCUGUGACAACGAGAAAACAUAACCAGAACCACGAACAGACACCAGGAAAAAAACAACC
Molecule: long non-coding RNA, 340 nt
Filed under: Pelobates cultripes (western spadefoot toad)
Lineage: Eukaryota; Metazoa; Chordata; Amphibia; Anura; Pelobatidae
Source: RNAcentral